This 427-nucleotide ribosomal RNA is filed under the name uncultured bacterium. RNAcentral describes it as "partial 16S ribosomal RNA". It matches the Rfam family "Bacterial small subunit ribosomal RNA", at positions 355 to 774 of the family's 1533-position model. The record is from RNAcentral.
UGGGGAAUAUUGCACAAUGGGCGCAAGCCUGAUGCAGCCAUGCCGCGUGUAUGAAGAAGGCCUUCGGGUUGUAAAGUACUUUCAGCGGGGAGGAAGGCGAUAAGGUUAAUAACCUUGUCGAUUGACGUUACCCGCAGAAGAAGCACCGGCUAACUCCGUGCCAGCAGCCGCGGUAAUACGGAGGGUGCAAGCGUUAAUCGGAAUUACUGGGCGUAAAGCGCACGCAGGCGGUCUGUCAAGUCGGAUGUGAAAUCCCCGGGCUCAACCUGGGAACUGCAUUCGAAACUGGCAGGCUAGAGUCUUGUAGAGGGGGGUAGAAUUCCAGGUGUAGCGGUGAAAUGCGUAGAGAUCUGGAGGAAUACCGGUGGCGAAGGCGGCCCCCUGGACAAAGACUGACGCUCAGGUGCGAAAGCGGGGGGAGCAAACA